AGAAGUAAAAGUCGUAACAAGGUCUCCGUUGGUGAACCAGCGGAGGGAUCAUUACAGAGUUGCAAAACUCCCAAACCAUUGUGAACGUUACCUAUCCCGUUGCUUCGGCGGGCGGCCCGGGCCCCGCGCCCGGCGCCCCCCGGCCCCCCGUGGGCGCCCGCCGGAGGUAAACCAAACCCUUGAAUUGCAUGGCCUCUCUGAGUCUUCUGUACUGAAUAAGUCAAAACUUUCAACAACGGAUCUCUUGGUUCUG
Molecule: unclassified non-coding RNA, 253 nt
Filed under: plant metagenome
Description: partial contains small subunit ribosomal RNA, internal transcribed spacer 1, and 5.8S ribosomal RNA
Rfam family: Eukaryotic small subunit ribosomal RNA (bases 1-54)
Source: RNAcentral